AGUGAACGCUGGCGGUAGGCCUAACACAUGCAAGUCGAACGGCAGCACAGUAAGAGCUUGCUCUUACGGGUGGCGAGUGGCGGACGGGCGAGGAAUACAUCGGAAUCUACUUUUUCGUGGGGGUUAACGGAGGGAAACUUACGCUAAUACCGCAUACGACCUACGGGGGCAAGCAGGGGAUCUUCGGACCUUGCGCGAUAGAAUGAGCCGAUGUCGGAUUAGCUAGUUGGCGGGGUAAAGGCCCACCAAGGCGACGAUCCGUAGCUGGUCUGAGAGGAUGGUCAGCCACACUGCAACGGAAACGCGGCCCAGACUCCUACGCGAGGCAGCAGAGGGGAAAAUUGGACUAUGCGCGCAAGCCUGAUCCAACCAUACCGCGUGGGUGGAGAAGGCCCUGGGGUUUGAAAGCCCUUUUUUUUGGAAAGAAAAGCAGCAGGUUUAUACCCCGCUGUUCUGACGGUACCCAAAGAAUAAGCACCGGCUAACUUCGUG
This 492-nucleotide ribosomal RNA is filed under the name uncultured bacterium. RNAcentral describes it as "partial 16S ribosomal RNA". It matches the Rfam family "Bacterial small subunit ribosomal RNA", at positions 29 to 507 of the family's 1533-position model. The record is from RNAcentral.